Haemorhous mexicanus (house finch) is the source of this 8729-nucleotide long non-coding RNA. RefSeq lists it as uncharacterized. NCBI's taxonomy places the organism in Eukaryota, Metazoa, Chordata, Aves, Passeriformes, Fringillidae. The record is from RefSeq and is a predicted model, not a curated record. The transcript is spliced from 3 exons.
CAGAGACACCUCUGGCUAAGCUUGAUGUUGCAGCUGGGUGCUAGAGACAUGUCCAGACAUGCAGGAGCUCCGGUUUACCUCUGUUGGAGAAGCUUUAAGGGAAGAUGAUUUGGGCUGUGAGGUGUCUGCAUUCCCCACACCUGGAAGGAACUUGGAUCAUCCCCAACUUACCCCCGACAUGGGAAGGAAUCCUGGGAGCAAGGCCAGGUGGGCACUGCCCCUCAUAUCUGGAGCCAAGUGACACUAUGGAGACACAAAAAUCCCAAAGGGCUUGGAACAGCCCCAGGAUUGAGCUGGGGAUGCCAAGGUGAUUCACCACCUGCAGAGCUGCAUCCAGCUCUGGGAAUUCCAACAUCAGAAGGAUGUGGAGCUGCUGGAGGAACUCCAGAAGGAGAUCACAGAAACACUGAGGACUGGAGCCCCUCUGCUCUGGAGAUAAGUUGGGGGUGCUCAGGGGGACCCCUGAGGCCCUUUCUGGUGCCUAAUGGGGCUCCAAGAGAGUUGGAGAGGGACUCUGGACAAGAGCCUGGAGGGACAGGACAAGGAGGAAUGGUUUCCCACUGCCUGAGGGCAGGGCUAGGUGAGAUCUUGGGAAGAAAUUCUUCCCUGUGAGGGUGGUAAGGCCCUGGCACAGGGUGCCCAGAUAAGCUGUGGCUGUCUCAUCCUUUUAAGUGUCCAAGGUCAGAUUGGACAGGGCUUGGAGCAGCCUGGUCUAGCAGAAAGUAUAUCUGCAUUGGAAUGAGAUGGUCUUUAAGGUCUCUUCCAACCCAAACCAUUCCAUGAUUCUAUGAAAAAAUUCCACCUGAACUCCCAUGUAGGCAUCAAAGUAGACUGGAGCUCAAACCCAGGGAACACUGACAUCAGCCUUGGUCUGCAGGGACUGAAAUAGUCCCAGGCCCCAGCAGAAACCAUAACCCUGACACAACUUGAUAGUAUCUCACUUGAAAAACAAGAACCUCACAGGAAUUUCCCACUAAUUGCUAUCACCCUGGGUUUUCAUCCAGCACUGUGGAAACACCCUGUCCAAACACCUGCACCAGAGCAAAGAGGCAGUAGAGCACCAAAUACCCCCAGACACCGAAGGCUGCCACCCCCUUUGCUGUUCUCAGCACUCCGUUCCCAUCUCUUCUGAGUUCUGUUUGGGUUUAAUGAAGAAGCUCUCACAAAAGUAGGUCCAGGCUUCCCCAAAGGGUUAUAAGGUGUUUGAAGUGUCAUUCCCAGAUCAUAAGGCACGACCUCAAAAAUGAAACCUGUCAGCAGCCAGACGGCCCUGAGCUGAUGCUUCUCCCUGGCUCUGCCUCUUCCUUGAAGACAGGCAGGUCCCUGUAGUCUAGGCAUGACAAGCACUUCAGGGCUCCGGCUACUGCAGAGUGAGCCCAUCACCAUCUAACUAGUCCAAAAGGUGCCAAGUCCAUCCCACUUCUACAGCAAAGCUGUACCUGCAACAGGUACCCACAGGUACAGCAGGUUUUCCCUCUUCACUCAGAGUAGAUGCUGUCAGGGCUCUGAACCUAGUACUUUGGUUCAGCUCAGGAUGUUUCCCUGCAUGUUCCUCUCUGCCUGGGGUUGUAUCACCUGAAAUAAGGGCAGCAACAGAGUCCUCUGCCUGCUUCCCACAGUCCCAUGCUAACCUGCUGCUGGGGGGGGGCACCUUCCCAUCUUGGCAACUCACACAACCUCUGCCACAAGCACAGGCUGCUACAGGAAACCCCAUCCUUUCCACUGCUGAAUCCAGGGAGAGCCCAUCCUCAAACAGCUUCAAUCCUGGGACAACAGCAUGUGCAGCCAUCUAUCCUUAGAAACCUUCCCAAAAAGGGAGGCCUGGCCUCCAGCUCAGAACACCACCACUGGCUUUAGCCUCUCAGCCACAGACCCAAGGAUGCUUUACUUCCCAUUCCUCUGUAGGAUGCAGAGCAAGGCCAGCAUGAUCUUCUGCUGUCUUCUUGGGACAGGGAUCAGACAAAGGCACAUGUUCUUAUUAAAAACAGUUACCCAAGUAAGUAAAUUUAAUUCCCCUUUUCCUGUAAUUCUGCCCAAGUCUUUUGCAGGUGCUUUCAUUCCCAAAACACCACAACAGCACAGCAAAAUCCAACUGCUAGAUUGGGAAGCAGAGCCAAACAGGGCACAAGAAGGACCACAGGGAGAGUCACAAAUCCAAAGGAAGGUGCCAAGCCCUGUUCCUGGUUCAGCAGCUAGCAUGUUAUGUUACACAGGGACAGAUGGCAAUGUCACACAUCCCUUUGGGAAGCAGCUGCAACUGCCUGAGCUAAUGUAACCACUUCCCAAAUGCAGACAUGGGAUAAGCUGGCUGCCGUGUUCAAUCAUGCCCUGUGCAUCUCCAGAGCCAGUGUCCUCGGCUGGGACAGUGGCCAAGGUUACUGCUGCACACAUCACACUGCUAGCUGAGCAGCUGGACCCCAGUCAAUCACCUCUUCCUGCUGAGAAGAUGAUGGCCUGCGUGCAGCUAAUAAGGAGGCAACCCCAGGGAAAAUCCCCCCCUUUAAACACUGAUGUGUAAGAACAGAGCCUAGAGCAGAUGUCCCGCAUAUCACCAAGCUAGAGAGGUGGCCAAAGUGAACAUCUUCACUUCAGACCUGCUGUAAACCAGGAUUGGGGAAGGGGGUCCCCAAAAGGUCCCCAUUCCCCUUCAGUCAAGAGCCUGCCUCAAGGAGCAAGCCAGAGGCGAAUGGAGGAAAGGUGGCUGGAUAUGAAAGGAGGUGGAUCCCUGAUCCAAAACCACAGAACCUAACUGGUUUGGGUUAGAAGAGAGCUGAAAUCUCAUCUUGCCAUGGGCAGGCACACUUUUCACUAGACCAAGUUCUUCCAGGCCCUGUCCAACCCGGCCUUGAACAAUUCUGGGGAUGGGGCAGCCACAGUUUCUCUGGGCACCCUGUGCCAGAGGCCUCACCGCAUUCCUAGGGAACAAUACCUUCCCAAUAUCCCCUCUGGCAGUGACAAGCCAUUCCCUGUUUUUUGUCCCUCCAUUCCUUGUCCAAAAUCCCUCUUCAACUGUCUUGGAGCCUCUUUAGGCAUUAGAAGGGUCUCUAAGGUCCCCCUGGAGCCUUCUCUUCCCCAAGUGAACACCCACAGCUCUCCCAGCCUGGCUCCACCUCUCGGAGCAUCUCUAUGGCCUCCUCUGGACUUUCUCCAGCAGCUCCGCAUCCUUCUGGUGCUGGAAUCCCCAGAGCUGGAUGCAGCACUGCAUGUAAGAUGUCAUCUGGGUGGAGCAGCGGGAUCCAAGACAUCUUGUCCUUAGGAGCAUUACAGUGAGCAUUCAACGACCAGUCAGAUCUACCAGAAUGCAUAGCAAGGCUCAACCACAUUGCAAACAUUUCUCCUUCCUGGCUCAUUCUCAUCCAAAUCGACAGGCUAUAUAACAGUCUAAGUGUCACAGCCCACGCAGCUAUGCAACAGCCCCGGAAGACAAAGCAGCAUCUGCACACGCAGACUGGGCGUUGCUCUGGGAUACGAUCCCUUGAGAGCAAAGGGAUUCCAUCAGGAAGUGUUUUAUGUCCUUUGGCUGCACUUUCCCUAAACUUGGGUCAUAUCUUACUGAUCCAUACAGGAAGAAGCAAGAAAGACACCUGCUCAGACUCAUCCCCAUCCAUCAAACUCCUCAGGAACAGGAAGGGCAAGAGCAGCAUGUCAUGGAAAUGGCUGAUACGUGCCACGGCUCAAAUCCUGUGCUGACACAAAGCUCACACAGGGCAAGUAUGCAAACAGGAGCUCUCGCUGAUCAUACCACUCAAAGCAACUUCAGUCCUGUCACUACUGUCCCCAGGGGCUGCAGCCAUGUCACAAGCCAGGUCCUGAUAAUAGCAACUGAGAUAUAUGAGAUCACCUUAUAUAUUCACACUGCAAGGGAACCAACCACAAAAGGAUCAAGUGCUUGCACCUGACAAAAUGACAGUGAGAGACAACACUGCCCAACUGUUCAGAGGCUUUUACCUUGAUUGACAACCAAGGUUCAGCAUCAAGACCCCUAGCAAAGGUAAGGAUUUUAUUGCCACAACACAGAUGGGUUUAGUCUGGCUAUUUCCCCAAGGAGGACCUGAAGAAGCCAGGGCAUAGCUCCCAGCUGUGUAGCAUACAAACCCUAGUUUGUUGGGACCUGCCUGAGCUGCAGGCUUGCCUUGGGCAGGCCAGGCCAGACACAGUCUCAAUUUGGCCUGAGAAAGUCCUCCAAGCAAAAGGCAUCACUCACCCAGUGCCUGCCUAUAGAAGAAACAGCAGGCAAUUCCUUCAUUGGAGCAAUGGAACUCCCAGUAUCAUUCCCCAAAAUGCUAAGACACUCAAUCAGAAAAUCCUGAGUUGGACCCACAAGGAUCAUCAAGUCCAGCUCCUGGCCCUGAACAGGACACGACAACAAUUCCACCCCGUGUUAGAAAGCAUUGUCCAAAUGCUUCUGGAGCUCUGGCAGCCUUGGGGCCCAUGACCAUUCCCUGGAGAGCCUGUAAUCAAACUCUGGCCUUGGUACACACGGAUACACACACACAGAUCAAGAAGCUCAACAGCCCCACUCAGCCUGUGAUGUUGCACUUCGCUGUUUGAUGCAAUCCCAGCCAAAUAACCCAGCGGGAUUUCCUUGUGCCCAUAUCUCCAAGGCAGACAUCUCAGAUCACUGCCUUAGAAAUCAUGAGUUACUGCAGCCCAUGGCCCUCCCAGCAGGAUUUGCUCAAGGAAGACAGCACAAAUUAUGGAUGAUGUAUCACUUGCAUAUUAUGCUCGACAAGCAGUCUCAAGUCCCAGUACUUUCAAACCAAACAUGACUUUUCCUGUUGUCAGCAUUAGAAAGCCAUCAGGGUUACCAAAAAAAGCUACAUCCUCGUCUAGAAAACGGGGAUAAAAAUUGGGUAGUGAUCUGCUUAUAGCUUGACACCUUCAUCCUACUUCCCAUUCACUUAAUGGGGCUCACCAAUAAGGAAGACAGGAAAUAAAGUAAAUAAAAGUGAUUCUUUGUCAUAGCAGGACAGGCCUUUUGUUCUACAGAUCAAAAUCCAAAACAGCAAACCCAAAUAGCCACAGAACUCUCAACAGAGCAAACUCAUAUCACUGAGCAAGCAGGAGCCAAGAAGAGACAUGGCCUUUGACACCUAAUUUCCAUGUCAGAGCAACCAGCCUGAGGACAAGAAGGGCACGAAGACAGCCAAGGCUUUUCUUCUACAGGAGGGUUUACACAAAGUGGUUCGAGCUAUUGGAUAUCCUCAGGCCCACUGCUAUUCCCCAGAAUCUUUCCAGGCACCUUUUAAAACUGAUGCAAUCAAUUGCAAAGAACAAACCUCCUCUUGCUUAAACAUCACAUUUAAUUGCCUGAAUAAAUCAGCCCAAUUCCCAUAUAAACAUUUAUAAUUACUCUCACAUAGGAACCCUUGUCCCACAGGGCAGCAAACAGAAUGGUGAAAAGCUGAGAACAUGCACGAAUAUUUAGAACAAAGGAGACAGAGCAAGCUGGGAGGAUUCCCAGUGGCAUUCCAUGGAAGGACAACUUCCAGUUCCCCCAGCCUGGAACUGGACUGGCUGACUUUGGAGCACAAGAAAAAUAACACACGUCCUUUCCAGUCAUUAGGAAGAAAGAAAAUUCUCCUGGUCUUCAACAACCAAGGAGAUUUUUAUUCUUCCCCAUCACUACAAGGGAAAUGUAAUUCAUUACUUUGGUUACCUUAAGUGAUCGCUCAGGCAAGAAGUCUCACCACAAGCACCACAAAACUCUUCAGAAAAGGAAGGAAUUCCACUUUAAUGUUUCAAAAUCUUCACUGCUGUAGAGUUAAAGCCUUGGCAGUGCCCUCUGUCACACCAUGCAGGUGUAAUGUCAAGGACUGAAAACCCACAGAGCUUCAGUAGAAUUUGUGGCUCCACAUAUUCACAAAACAUCUAGAAAGAGGACUGACCAAGUUUACUGAUGACAUUAAGCUAUUCAGAGUAAUAAAAAUAGCAGUUGACUAAGUGGACAACUUUGUGAGAAAAUGCUGCUGAACUUUACAGGUACACUUGGCCUACUUGGUUGAGAAAAAUUAAACGAUGUGUGUGCAGAAAACCCCUGCCCUAAUUCCAAGGCUACAGGUUCCAAAUUGACCAUUAACCAUCAGAAACAUGAUCUGUAACUCCAGAAAACUAACUAACCUGAAGAAAAGCAAAUGUCACCCUGAACAAAACAUACCACUGUGCUGUUAUACAAACCCAGAUAGGAUUUAUCCUGAGCAGAGCGUAGCUUUGCUCCUCUCCACCUCCACAAGCAUGAAGCAGAACUGAAAAACCAUCACAGAAAAAUAGGGAUGAGCAAGGGACAGAAGCAUUUCCAUCUGCAGAGCCACUGUGCUUUAACUCUCUGGCCUGGAAGACAGAUGACUGGAAAGGCAGAGUAGGCACAGAAGAGAGUGAAAUAAUUGCUCACCACCUUUUCUCACACAAGAAAAAGGGAGAAUCAUGAGGCAGACUCAAAGCAAAUCAAAAAGACACAUUUCCCCACACAACACAAAUUAGCUGAAGAACUGUAGAUACUGUGGGUGAUCAAGGAGUUAACUGAGAUCAUGGACAGCAAAAUCAUUAAUUGAGAAAGACAAAGAUGCAUCCUUGGGGUAAUGUAAAUUCCAAAGCCAACAUAUUGUUCAAGGGAAAGAAAACCUUCAGAGAUGAAUAUGUGCCUGUACUGUCCUCACAGGUGCUUGCUCUCAACUGUUACUGCCAGAUGGACACAGCACUUUCUAAGAGGAAACAGGAGAGAUACCCAAGCAAGGUCUCCCUCUGUGCCCAGCAGACAUGCAGCUCCUGCAGCCACAUGAGACACACUUACACAGACUUUGAUCUGACCGAUGGCAGCUUUCCUGGUAUUUGAGGCUUGAACACCACCACCAUCCCAAGUAAGACAGAAGAGACACUUCAUGCUAUCACCGCUAAGAAAAGGUGCUAUGAAAAAGACACACCACAAUAUUCUGUACUGAGAAUAUUAUGUAUUGUGAGAGGACAAGAGAAGAUCUAUUUGCCUGCUUCUGUGAGCCAGAAAGAGCUGAAUUCACAAGCUUAAGGAGAAGAGCCAACACUCCCUAUAGCAUGUCCCAUCAUUUUACAGCCACUUGAAAAGGAACAUAAAGCCACAUUCACUGGAACAGAGUUUUGUAUUUCAUCUUUUUUUUUUUUUCUUCCUCCUCUAAGUGUAUCAAGAACAUGGCUCUGGAAUCAGCUGAACUCCGAAUCAGGCUGCAACAGCCAAAAGGCUGAUGAUCAAGACUUCUCGAUUUCCUUAAUUUUGCAAUGAUGAUUUGGAAUUUGGAAAUUCUCUGAAGGUAUUUUACAGAUGGUACCACAAAUAACAGAACUGAGAUGGAGAGAGCAGAGCCCUUCCCCACUGUGCAUAGAAUACAAAGAAGGAAACUGAAGAGUGUGGUUUCCUUUCCCCCCCAAGAUUAGAAACAAAAUACAAGCCUUUUAAGGUAGAUUUUAUCAAAAUCUUCUAUACUGGGAUUACAUUACAAUAGCUCUGCAGUUAACCACACAAAAAAAGCAGCUCAGCAUUGUUCUUUUAAGAAAAAAAAAUUCUAAUUAUACAGAACCAGAAAUUUCCAAGUUCUUGCACAAAACCCAAAUGGUUCAUUAUUAACUGCUCAAAUACACUGAUAUAUGACUUACAUGUCAAUUUAAAAGGCUCCUACUGGGGACUAGUCACUGGAAGGAGCUACAAACAACUUCUAUCCUAGCCAUCAGUUUGAGUAAUGACCAUCCUUGUUUAACAGGGACUUUCCUAGGAACUGCUGUGGUAGAGCAGGGUGCUAGCACUGUUCUGGCUGCCAAGCCUCCAGUGGUUUGUACCACUAAGGAACUAAUUUUUAACUCACAAAGCCGUAAGACAGCACAAUUACUACCAGGUACAAACCAGAACACGCAGGAAAAUGAGAGGACUAAUGGUAGUGAGAGUGACCACACAGCACUAAACAAGGAGCUUCAUGGACCUGAAAAGAAAAAAACAGUUUCUUUCAGACAAAAAGCUGGUGCAGAAUUACAGUUUCAAUAAGAACAAGGAAGGAACACUGUGCAUGGAGCUGUUCUUGAUUGACUGCUCACAGAACAAUGCACUUCAACUGUUUUCUUGGGAUCUUAAUCGGCUUUCAAGCAACAUCUUGUGACCCACCGUACUUCUGCAUUAGGGAAAAAUCCAGAGAACUGAACCAGACCAUGCCCUGGGGUUUCACUGAAUGAAAGAGAUGGCAAAGAGUCUUGCUUGGAAGAUAAGAACUUUUUCUGGGGAAGCAGAUGUUAAUAAAAUAACCUGAAACACAUACCUGUGUAAGUAGCUCUUAACCUUGGUGCCAGCAAGUUAUCCAGAACUCUUGGAGGAAAAAAAUCAGAGGAAGAAAACCAAAGCAACCCCUGCUGCUGACAGCUUACACACUCCCUUCUGCAUUCCAAGACCUCCACAGUGUUUCUAGGGAAUUUGCCAGCCAUACACAUACCAUUUUUCACAGAAUCACAGGCUGGUUUGGGUUGGAAGGGACCUGAAAGCCCACACCAUUCCACUCCCUGCCAUGGACAGGGACACCUUCCACUAGACCAGCCAGCUCCAAGCCCUGUCCAGCCUGGCCUUGGACACUUCCAAGGAUAAAGGGGCAGCCACAGCUUCUCUGGGCAACCCCUGCCAGGACCUCAACACCCUUACAGAAAUUAAUUUCUCCUUAAUAUCCAAUCUGAACCUACCCUACUUCAGUUCAAGGUCAUUCUUCCAUCUUAAUUCAUCUGCU